RNAcentral lists this long non-coding RNA (3806 nucleotides) under Calidris pugnax (ruff). RNAcentral describes it as "lncRNA (ENSCPUG00000000444.1)". The record is from RNAcentral. Lineage: Eukaryota; Metazoa; Chordata; Aves; Charadriiformes; Scolopacidae.
AACGGCUUUCCUGUUGGGCGAACCCUUAACAAGGAAAUAACUGGCUCCAAACAUCCAGGGGCGGCGGGGAGUUCACAGCAGAGCCAGCUCUGAACUCCGCAGCUUGAGCUCCCGGGUACAAUGCAGCCGGCCCCUGCGCAUGGAGCUGCCGGUGGCGGAGCUGCGGGGAGCUGCCCUUAUUUAUUUGUUCCUACCGCACGGGCUGAGACACGGGCUGUGUUUUAUGUUCCUCUGCAGGAAGGUGAUAAAGUGCCUGAGAGCUGCCGAAAACCCUUCGCCAAUAAAUUCAAAGGGAAAGGCCAUUUCUCAUGCCUUGGAAGGGGAGCUGAGGGAUGCUGGAAGGCAGAGAAGACUGAAACGGCGCGUCGCAUGGCAGCGUGGCAGGAGGCACAGGAGCAAAUUUUCUGGAGAAGCACCUGGAUGCCAGAGGAGGCCAGAGAAAUGCUUUGUGUCUUCCGCUGCAACCGCAACCAGCUCCAAAAAUAAUCUGCUUUGGUGUCUGGUGGGAAUAUUUGGAGCAUCAGGGCUUGGUCUGCGGCUUCUCAUAGAAAUCAGCAGGAAUUUUGUCGCAUCCUUCUCUGGCCCAGCUCUGCUCCCGUGGCUGGCAGCCCCUGCUAAGGAAAAGCAGGGUUUGCUGCGGAAGGGUUUUCAUUGAGGCGCUGAUGAUAUGGCAGUGACUACACGACUUGUGGGUGUUCAGGGUCAGAAGAAGUUGCAGCCGCCCCUUCUCAGGAGGAAAGACAAGCAGAAGCUGAAACACCCAAGCUGCAAUCAGUGGCAGAACAUCACUCCAGGAAGCAUCAUGCCUCUUCAGUGGGUGUUGGCUUUCUAAGGCACCUCAAAUACUCUGCCAGGGUAAUUAGUAGUGAUCUAAAUCAGACAUCACUAUAUACACGUCUGUCUACAAUGGUGACAUAUUUCAUCAUGCACCUGCAGUCAACAGCAAUUUUGAGGUGGAUACACUCCCUAGCCCACAGUAGUCGCCUGCCUUGUGCUCGUUGUCACCCUCUGCGCGGGCGGGAGGUGUUUGUCCUGACGAUCAGUCCUUUGGAUUCCUGCUCAGGGCAAAGCUUGGGCUCCAUGGCCCAGCACUCCCAAAGCUGAGAUUGCCCUUCAUUUGUCUGCCUGGUAUCUGCAAGAAGUCCUUGCUGUUUGCAGAGGGACCAUCACUUUGCACAGCUCCCAACGUUGUCUCCAUGUCGUUCUGGGAGUCCCAGGCUUGCUAUGGGCAGUGAAUGAAAGGUGAAGGACAAAGCUGGGGGGAGAUGUGCUUUAGUUUAGCUGGGACAAGUCAGGCACUGCCUCUGCCAAGGGAAAGAGCAUGUUUUGAUCCCACUGUGGUUUUAUUUGUUCUGAAGGAAAAAAUUGAGUAGUUUAUCAGGUGCAGCACAGACGUUUCACUCUCAGCCCAGUGGCUAGGUAGACACCUCCCAGUCAAACCCUUAAGUUUCCCACAAGAAGGCUGGAAAACAGGGGGUGUAGUGUUGGUUUUCACUGAGAAACAUUAAUAACAUGCAGCAUGGACUCUGCCUUUUCUCUGCCUACCCUGUAAAAUGCCGCUCGUCGGGCUGUGGCAUAGGUGUAGCAACAGUCAGCCAGGUCUAGACACCGCCUCAUGCCCCAAGCGGCCAGGCUGAGGUCAUGUCUCCGUUCACUUUAUUUUAUUCAUUUGUAAUUUAAUUCUUUGCUUUCCCAAAAGGCUUGUAAUAUGGGAUGGAAGGAGGGGAAAAAAAAAAAUAUUAACCACUGGAGUUUUGCAGCUCCUUCCUUGCAGUCAGCAGGAGCCCUUUCGGAAGCCAGGAAGGAGCCAAGAGGUGUGUGGGUGCCUCUCACCCCUUUGUGGUGACACCCAGGGAUGGUCUGGGGGCCUCUUGAGGUCCAUGGGAGCGUGCAGGUGGAGAGCACCCAUGGGUGGGUUGGUGGUCUGGGGUACCCAGCUGUGGAGGCAGCAGAGCCAGCGUGGAGACCAUGGCCUUUGGCUCUCUCCUCACCUGGGCGGGCAGAAGAGAAACACCUCGUCAGGGAAGCACGAAAUGGCAUCAGGGGAAAGGAAAGGGUGCAAGACAAUAGGCUUAUACGUUCUCCAGGGCAGAGAAAGGUGGGAGAGGCAGAGCAAGGAGACAUAGGGAGGAGACGCCGGCACUAGGCGGAGGGGAAGGGUGGAAGCCCUCCUUCCCCAGAAGGGAGCUAUGGAGACACCAGUGCUGCGGAGCCAGCAGUCAGGGCAGGACCAGGGGUGUGGGUGAGAGGGAGGGAGACGCAGACCGGCGGUACCUGUUUUGUGCUGCUUCACCUGUGACUGCUCGUGCAACUCUUCAGGCCUGCCUUUGUGCUUCAGUUUUUUCAUCAGCCCCAAGAUCUCAAUGUAAACUUGCUCUUCUUGCCCUGGCAAGGGCCAGCCCUCCUAGCUCCGUGCCCUCUGUGCCAGCCAUGCUCCAUCUCCUCCCCCAGAAAGCUCACUUCUCUCUGCCAGCCCCUGAUGGCUGUGCACAGCAGAAGCACCUGUGGGCUUCAUCCAGGCAGCCUUUCCCUCCUGUUCCCCCUUGGAUGAAACGUGGGCACCUGCAGACAGUUGUGUGAUUUAGAUCAGCCUCCAAUAUUGUCACAUUUCCAGGGCGACUGUGGCUUUCAAGCUGCUUCUAGGAGGUGGAUGAAUGUGUGCAAUGUACCCUGUGGAGCAUCUGAGCUUUGGACAGGUGAAUGGUUUCUGAGAAAGUGGAAUGGGACAAUCCUGCCCUUGGUGGUGCCUUGUGUUGGUAGGCUCUUCUAGGCUUGAAGCUUUGAGACAUGACAUCAAGGUGCAAAAUUACAUGCAUGUUUGUGGUAAAUGUAUUCAAAGCAAUCGGAGAUAUCAGAAAGAAGGACUUAGAUGCCCUUGUCUUCCAGAAGGGAGCUGGCAUUUGAUGGAGGCCCAGACAAUCUCCUUUGAAACAGUAUGGGGGGAGUUUACAGGGGGAAUAUGGGAUUUGCGUUAUUUUGGUGUCCUGUUCUCUGUUGCAUGUUCCCAGCAGGGAGUGUGCUUGCCUGCAGGGCUGGUGGAUCAGAUUUAUCCACAUACCUCCUCUCUUGUGUUUCAGUUGCUUUGGCAGCUCUCUAACUCCUGGCCGUGGUGGGACACCACUGCGGAUGGGACACACAGCCCCAAGGAAUUUCACAGGCGUAAUGUCUCUCAGGACAGAGGAUGGGCAUGUCUGGGCACUGGAAAAAGGCGGUCAGUGGGAAGGUGGUGAUGUCCCUUGUGUGAGCCAGGAAGGCUGCCAGCUCUGUCGAACCAGCAGGAGCCAGGUGGGGGAUGAUGGACUGGUGGGGGUCCCUGGCCCCCAGCCAGCUGAGGCCUCGCCUUGUCACAUCACAGAGCAUCACUUGCAGGCAAGACCAGCUGAUAAUCUUCUGCAGCCCUGAGGGCACCCAGACCCGUAUAGAGAUGGGUGCCAACACACCCACUUACCAGGCAGGAGACGCUGACCUGCCACAAUGUCCUGAGCUGUAGCUUUCUUCAACAGAAUCACAGGAAAUCACUUUCCUCUCCCAAAUAUAACCCUGUGAGCCCAGGGAGACGUAAUGCUGGCAGGCGUGCUGCCCAGCUCCUAGCCCGCCUGGCCACCAGGAUGACUGCCAUGGGGGUGAUAACUCACCUUGUCUCUCAGGGGUGGCUCAGAUUACAGCCAAAAAAAAAAAGAUUAUUUUUGUCUGCUCUGUUGGUCUCCAGGCCCAACAAUUUUAUGUGAUGUGUUACCUGCUAGGCACUCUCGUAUGACUCAAGACCACAAAAAUAAUAAAAAAAACCUAAUGGCGAAGCUGGCCCA